GUCAUUAUCGACCAUCAAGCACCGCUUGGCAUUGAACGUCACCCGCCUCGCGGCGGGAGCGCUCUAAAACGGUCGGCUGUGGGUUGCGAACCGCUAGCGUAAGUAAUGCUUCCCGCUCAGACGCGUUCCGACCCGCAGGCCCCUAGAACCCAUCACUUAAGGUUGACCUCGGAUCAGGUAGGGAUACCCGCUGAACUUAA
This 200-nucleotide unclassified non-coding RNA is filed under the name soil metagenome. RNAcentral describes it as "partial contains internal transcribed spacer 2 and large subunit ribosomal RNA". The record is from RNAcentral.